UGCAGUAGAACGCUGAAGAGAGGAGCUUGCUCUUCUUGGAUGAGUUGCGAACGGGUGAGUAACGCGUAGGUAACCUGCCUUGUAGCGGGGGAUAACUAUUGGAAACGAUAGCUAAUACCGCAUAACAAUGGAUGACACAUGUCAUUUAUUUGAAAGGGGCAAUUGCUCCACUACAAGAUGGACCUGCGUUGUAUUAGCUAGUAGGUGAGGUAAUGGCUCACCUAGGCGACGAUACAUAGCCGACCUGAGAGGGUGAUCGGCCACACUGGGACUGAGACACGGCCCAGACUCCUACGGGAGGCAGCAGUAGGGAAUCUUCGGCAAUGGGGGCAACCCUGACCGAGCAACGCCGCGUGAGUGAAGAAGGUUUUCGGAUCGUAAAGCUCUGUUGUAAGUCAAGAACGGGUGUGAGAGUGGAAAGUUCACACUGUGACGGUAGCUUACCAGAAAGGGACGGCUAACUACGUGCCAGCAGCCGCGGUAAUACGUAGGUCCCGAGCGUUGUCCGGAUUUAUUGGGCGUAAAGCGAGCGCAGGCGGUUUGAUAAGUCUGAAGUUAAAGGCUGUGGCUCAACCAUAGUUCGCUUUGGAAACUGUCAAACUUGAGUGCAGAAGGGGAGAGUGGAAUUCCAUGUGUAGCGGUGAAAUGCGUAGAUAUAUGGAGGAACACCGGUGGCGAAAGCGGCUCUCUGGUCUGUAACUGACGCUGAGGCUCGAAAGCGUGGGGAGCGAACAGGAUUAGAUACCCUGGUAGUCCACGCCGUAAACGAUGAGUGCUAGGUGUUGGAUCCUUUCCGGGAUUCAGUGCCGCAGCUAACGCAUUAAGCACUCCGCCUGGGGAGUACGACCGCAAGGUUGAAACUCAAAGGAAUUGACGGGGGCCCGCACAAGCGGUGGAGCAUGUGGUUUAAUUCGAAGCAACGCGAAGAACCUUACCAGGUCUUGACAUCCCGAUGCUAUUUCUAGAGAUAGAAAGUUACUUCGGUACAUCGGUGACAGGUGGUGCAUGGUUGUCGUCAGCUCGUGUCGUGAGAUGUUGGGUUAAGUCCCGCAACGAGCGCAACCCCUAUUGUUAGUUGCCAUCAUUCAGUUGGGCACUCUAGCGAGACUGCCGGUAAUAAACCGGAGGAAGGUGGGGAUGACGUCAAAUCAUCAUGCCCCUUAUGACCUGGGCUACACACGUGCUACAAUGGUUGGUACAACGAGUUGCGAGUCGGUGACGGCGAGCUAAUCUCUUAAAGCCAAUCUCAGUUCGGAUUGUAGGCUGCAACUCGCCUACAUGAAGUCGGAAUCGCUAGUAAUCGCGGAUCAGCACGCCGCGGUGAAUACGUUCCCGGGCCUUGUACACACCGCCCGUCACACCACGAGAGUUUGUAACACCCGAAGUCGGUGAGGUAACCUUUUGGAGCCAGCCGCCU
RNAcentral lists this ribosomal RNA (1417 nucleotides) under Streptococcus thermophilus. Its description in RNAcentral is "bacterial SSU rRNA". It matches the Rfam family "Bacterial small subunit ribosomal RNA". The record is from RNAcentral. Lineage: Bacteria; Bacillati; Bacillota; Bacilli; Lactobacillales; Streptococcaceae.